This is a long non-coding RNA of Stomoxys calcitrans (stable fly), 277 nucleotides long. RefSeq lists it as uncharacterized. The transcript has 3 exons. The record is from RefSeq and is a predicted model, not a curated record. Lineage: Eukaryota; Metazoa; Arthropoda; Insecta; Diptera; Muscidae.
GAAAACUUCUCUUUGUACAUUUACAAUUUUUUUUUUUCCUAGGAACCUUUUUUCUUUAGAAUUCUUAUUUUCGCUUUUUAUACGUGUAACUCCGAUGCAUAAGCUUCGCGCGCGCGUUCCUUAAAUAGUAAUUAUAAUGCGGCGAAAAAAAUUCAAGUCAAAUACGAAAAUGUGCACAACAAUCGAAAUUGAAAAAAGAGAGCACACAGACAACCACUGAUGAGUGUAGCAAACGAAGCACUAAAUGUAUGAAUAAAACGAGAAACGCCAACAAGUU